AAAUAACGAUACGGGACUCUAUUGAGGCCCCGUAAUCGGAAUGAGUACACUUUAAAUCCUUUAACAAGGAUCCAUUGGAGGGCAAGUCUGGUGCCAGCAGCCGCGGUAAUUCCAGCUCCAAUAGCGUAUAUUAAAGUUGUUGCGGUUAAAAAGCUCGUAGUUGGUUCUGCGUGCCGCGCUGUCGGUUCGCCGCCUGUCGGUGUAACUGGCAUGUCGCGGCAUGUCCUGUCGGUGGUGAACGGGAUUCCCGGUGCUGCUUAGGCUUCCAUAGCUUAAGUUAGGGCCGUGUGAAGUCCGUUUGCCGAUCUCUCCUACUCCGGUGCUCUUAAACGAGUGUCGAGGUAGGCCGACACGUUCACUUUGAACAAAUUAGAGUGCUUAAAGCAGGCUGAAAUAUCUGCCUGAAUAGUGGUGCAUGGAAUGAUAAAAUAGGACCUCGGUUCUAUUUUGUUGGUUUUAGGAAUGUGAGGUAAUGAUCAAUGUGGACUGGCGGGGGCAUUCGUAUUGCGACGUUAGAGGUGAAAUUCUUGGAUCGUCGCAAGACGCACUAAAGCGAAAGCAUUUGCCAAGUAUGUCUUAAUUGAUCAAGAACGAAAGUUAGAGGUUCGAAGGCGAUCAGAUACCGCCCUAGUUCUAACCAUAAACGAUGCCAGCCAGCGAUCCGCCGAUGUUCCAUUAAUGACUCGGCGGGGAGCUUCCACCCGGGAAACCAAAGCUUUUGGGUUCCGGGGGAAGUAUGGUUGCAAAGCUGAAACUUAAAGGAAUUGACGGAAG
Molecule: ribosomal RNA, 774 nt
Filed under: Varus flavoannulatus
Lineage: Eukaryota; Metazoa; Arthropoda; Insecta; Hemiptera; Reduviidae
Description: SSU rRNA
Rfam family: Eukaryotic small subunit ribosomal RNA
Source: RNAcentral